Molecule: ribosomal RNA, 472 nt
Filed under: uncultured bacterium
Lineage: Bacteria
Description: bacterial SSU rRNA
Rfam family: Bacterial small subunit ribosomal RNA
Source: RNAcentral
ACACAUGCAAGUCGAACGGCAGCACGGGACUUCGGUCUGGUGGCGAGUGGCGAACGGGUGAGUAAUGCAUCGGAACGUGCCCAGAGGUGGGGGAUAACGCAGCGAAAGCUGUGCUAAUACCGCAUAUUAUCUGAGGAUGAAAGCGGGGGACUAAGCAGCAAUGUUUGGCCUCGCGCCUUUGGAGCGGCCGAUGUCAGAUUAGGUAGUUGGUGGGGUAAAGGCCUACCAAGCCAACGAUCUGUAGCUGGUCUGAGAGGACGACCAGCCACACUGGAACUGAGACACGGUCCAGACUCCUACGGGAGGCAGCAGUGGGGAAUUUUGGACAAUGGACGCAAGUCUGAUCCAGCCAUUCCGCGUGCAGGAUGAAGGCCCUCGGGUUGUAAACUGCUUUUGUACGGAACGAAAAGGUUUCUAUUAAUACUAGGGGCUCAUGACGGUACUGUAAGAAUAAGCACCGGCUAACUACGUG